GACGAACGCUGGCGGCGUGCCUAAUACAUGCAAGUCGAGCGAGCUGAAUUCAAAGAUUCCUUCGGGAUGAUUUGUUGGACGCUAGCGGCGGAUGGGUGAGUAACACGUGGGCAAUCUGCCCUAAAGACUGGGAUACCACUUGGAAACAGGUGCUAAUACCGGAUAACAACAUGAAUCGCAUGAUUCAAGUUUGAAAGGCGGCGUAAGCUGUCACUUUAGGAUGAGCCCGCGGCGCAUUAGCUAGUUGGUGGGGUAAAGGCCUACCAAGGCAAUGAUGCGUAGCCGAGUUGAGAGACUGAUCGGCCACAUUGGGACUGAGACACGGCCCAAACUCCUACGGGAGGCAGCAGUAGGGAAUCUUCCACAAUGGACGCAAGUCUGAUGGAGCAACGCCGCGUGAGUGAAGAAGGUUUUCGGAUCGUAAAGCUCUGUUGUUGGUGAAGAAGGAUAGAGGCAGUAACUGGUCUUUAUUUGACGGUAAUCAACCAGAAAGUCACGGCUAACUACGUGCCAGCAGCCGCGGUAAUACGUAGGUGGCAAGCGUUGUC
RNAcentral lists this ribosomal RNA (548 nucleotides) under uncultured bacterium. Its description in RNAcentral is "bacterial SSU rRNA". It matches the Rfam family "Bacterial small subunit ribosomal RNA", at positions 28 to 545 of the family's 1533-position model. The record is from RNAcentral.